RNAcentral lists this ribosomal RNA (429 nucleotides) under Chloroflexota bacterium. Its description in RNAcentral is "Chloroflexi bacterium partial 16S ribosomal RNA". It matches the Rfam family "Bacterial small subunit ribosomal RNA", at positions 355 to 776 of the family's 1533-position model. The record is from RNAcentral. Lineage: Bacteria; Bacillati; Chloroflexota.
UGGGGAAUAUUGCACAAUGGGCGCAAGCCUGAUGCAGCCAUGCCGCGUGUGUGAAGAAGGCCUUCGGGUUGUAAAGCACUUUCAGCGGGGAGGAAGGCGUUAAGGUUAAUAACCUUGGCGAUUGACGUUACCCGCAGAAGAAGCACCGGCUAACUCCGUGCCAGCAGCCGCGGUCAUACGGAGGGUGCAAGCGUUAAUCGGAAUUACUGGGCGUAAAGCGCACGCAGGCGGUCUGUCAAGUCGGAUGUGAAAUCCCCGGGCUCAACCUGGGAACUGCAUGCGAAACUGGCAGGCUUGAGUCUUGUAGAGGGGAGUAGAAUUCCAGGUGGAGCGGUGAAAUGCGUAGGGAUCUGGAGGAAUACCGGUGGCGAAGGCGGCCCCCUGGACAAAGACUGACGCUCAGGUGCGAAAGCGUGGGGAGCAAACAGG